This 88-nucleotide transfer RNA is filed under the name Microcaldota archaeon. RNAcentral's name for it is "Candidatus Micrarchaeota archaeon (hot springs metagenome) tRNA-OTHER". It matches the Rfam family "tRNA". From Rfam's summary of the family: Transfer RNA (tRNA) molecules are approximately 80 nucleotides in length. The record is from RNAcentral. Lineage: Archaea; Nanobdellati; Microcaldota.
GGGCCCGUGGCGCAACUGGAUAGCGCGACUAGGCAACUCGCAAGGCUUCGGACCAGUUGGUUUGAGGGUUCGAAUCCCUCCGGGCCCG